AGAGAUUUAUGUAAAGGAAUUGGCUUACACGAUUUGUAGGGCAGGCCAGCAGACUGGGACCCCUCCACCAGGAGCUGAGGCUACAGUCCAAAGGAAGAAUAUUUUUUUUCAUCAGGGAAACCUCUGUUUUGCUCUGUAGGCCUUCCAGUUGAUUGCAUGAGACCCACCCAGAUUAUCAAGGAUCAUCUCCUUUACUUAAAGUCAACUGACUGCAGAUGUUAACCCCAUCUACAGAACACCUUCACAGCAACAUUUAGGUUAGUGUUUAAUUGAAUAACUGGGUGCUACAGCCUAGCCAAAUUGACACAUAAAACUAACUAUCACAGUGCCUCAGACAGAGAGGGAAAGAGAGAGGGAGGAAGGGAAGAGAAACUUAACCUACUUAUCUUUAGAUCUAAACGAAAAUUUGGAAACAAUCCUCGAGGAAUACUUAACCACAAGUUGAUCACAUAGAUUUGAGGCUAGAAUUUAUGCAUCUGUGUUACCUCCACCCCCCCAUAAAUCUACACUAACUAUUUCAUUAAAAGUGCUCAUAAGAGAACUUAUUGAGGUGAUGGAAAUGUUCUAAAACUGGAUUGUCGUAAUGUACAACUUUGGAAAUUUAUGAAAACUCAAACUGUACACUUAAAACGGGUAGAUUUUAUGAUAUGUAAAUUACACCACAAUAAAGCUGCUAAAAAAAAAAGUGCCCUGAACAACAUACUGUGCUUCCCAGGUUGUGAGAAGGGAGGUACAUAUGUUGCUGUUCGAAAUGAAAGAUAGUAUGGCCCCUAAGGAGGGAAAUUUGAAAAUGUCUAGCAAGAGUGCAUAUGCAUUUAUUGAGCCAGAAAUUUACAGUGAUAUUCAUUGCCACACUAUUUACAAUGGCAAAGGCUGAAGACAACUGAAUGUCCAUCAAUAGGGGAUUAAUUGAAUAAAUAAUGGUAUGUCCACACAAUGGAGUACAAUGCAGGUACAGCAAGGAAUGAAGAGCUCUAUAUUCUGCUAUGGAAUGAGUGAAAAAAGCACAUUGGAGAAAGCAUUUGUAGUAUGCUGUUGUUUAUCCAAUAAAGGGAGGAGAUACGUAAAUGUAUUUUUAUAUUAAAAAAUAAUGGAAGGAUAAACCAAAACAAAUUUUUUUUUUUUAAGAUUUUAUUUUUUUCCUUUUUCUCCCCAAUGCCCCCCAGUACAUAGUUGUAUAUUCUUCGUUGUGGGUCCUUCUAGUUGUGGCAUGUGGGAUGCCGCCUCAGCGUGGUUUGAUGAACAGUGCCAUGUCCGCGCCCAGGAUUCAAACCAACAAAACACUGGGCCGCCUGCAGCGGAGCGCGCGAACUUAACCACUCGGCCAUGGGGCCAGCCCCAACCAAAACAAAUUUUUUAAUGUUAUUUAAAGGAGAAGGGAGGAAAUAUGUUGGAGGGGACAGUGAUAGAAACUAAACUUUUCUGGAUAUAUCUUGUUUUAUAUAUUUGACUUUAGAACAAUAUAAAUGUUUUAUAUAAUUAAAAAACAUUGUUAUAAAAAAGGCAAUCAACUUUUAAAAAGCAAAAUUAAAUAAAUAAACUUGUGUAUCAAGUGGGCACUUGGAGAGUAAAUAUUUCAAGUGAUUUUAAAAUGUUUCUAGUCAGAUAUACUUAAUCUUUAAAAAGAAGUCCCCUCAUUGGAACAUCUGGCCAUAUCAUAAAAUAAAAGAGCUAGUAAAGCUAUGAGCCGAUGACCAAAAGAUAAGAAUAAGAAAAGCAAUCUACAAUGGAAGAUCUAAGGAGCUUCAAAAAGGAAUAAAUGAGAAAGGAAAAAAAAGUAGCCCCUUGGAUGCUAGACUCAGGGGGCCAAUUUUCUGCACUUGGAUGCAUUUUGUCUCCAGCGUCACCUUUGGCCACCCUGUGGUAGAAAGUGUCCAGCUAGGCUUUGACAUGCACGUGAUAGCAUCCAGGCUGGAACAGUGGGUAAAACCAAAGGCUGUAGCAGGAACCCAUCAAUAUAGUUUAAUCUCGAGGUUACUGAGAAACCAGGGGCUUUGACCAAAGACAUAGUGAGAACGAGAUGAAAUUGACCUUGCCAUCAAACCAGGAACUACAGGUGAGCAUUUGGCACCAUGGGCUAAUCAGAUAAAGAUAGCCUUGGUUAUGACAGUGGGACCUGGGUUUGGAAGGCAGAAAUUCAUGAACGAUGUGAUGCCAAAGGUUCACUGGUUGAGGAUCCAGUUCCCAUCUUUGGACUUAGAGGUUGACUGUGAAGUGGGUCCUGACACCGCCCAUAAAUGUAGAGUCCUGAGGUAACAUGAUUGUGUCUGGCAAUGUCAUUUUGAGGAGUGAAGGUAUCGUAUCUGUGACCAAUGUGUUAAAGAAUGUUUGCUCAGAGGCUGCCCAGAAACAUUCUCUUGGUUAAUGAAAUGUCAAAGAGCCCAAUGUUUUUGCUCACAUUUCUAAUUUUAACUAGAAAGCAAGAACGUUGACAACCAAAUCAUAUUGCAGGCGAGGUAAUGUUGCUUUUCCGAGCAAUUAUUCAUUCCAACGACUAAAAUCUAUUUUACAGGAUGUUCUGAAAGGUCAGAAAUUGAUGUAUACAUUGUGAAUAUAUUUUUAGUGUGGUGAAUAUUCUGCUUUUACUUGGUG
Molecule: long non-coding RNA, 2592 nt
Organism: Equus caballus (horse)
Lineage: Eukaryota; Metazoa; Chordata; Mammalia; Perissodactyla; Equidae
Source: Ensembl